UGAAAUGGGGGGUAAGGAGCGGUGGAAGACGGUGGGGGGCAGGCGUUGGACGGAAUAUUUGAGCGGAAAGCGGAUGUAGGAGGCCAGGUAGGUGGGUUGUGAAGAGUGGAGGGUCAACCUACAGACGUCGGUCGAAACCAUCUGGAGAGAGGCAGGAAGAGGAGAAAGGAAUUCGUGGUGUAGCGGUGAAAUGCGAAGAGAUCAGGCAGAACACCGAUGGCGAAGGCAGUGCUCUGGGACGGUACUGACGCUGAGACGCGAGAGCGUGGGGAGCGAACAGGAUUAGAUACCCAGGUCGUC
This 300-nucleotide ribosomal RNA is filed under the name uncultured Ancylobacter sp. RNAcentral's name for it is "bacterial SSU rRNA". The stretch from base 52 to 300 matches the Rfam family "Bacterial small subunit ribosomal RNA", at positions 547 to 795 of the family's 1533-position model. Lineage: Bacteria; Pseudomonadati; Pseudomonadota; Alphaproteobacteria; Hyphomicrobiales; Xanthobacteraceae. The record is from RNAcentral.